RNAcentral lists this long non-coding RNA (618 nucleotides) under Monodelphis domestica (gray short-tailed opossum). RNAcentral's name for it is "lncRNA (ENSMODG00000049606.1)". Lineage: Eukaryota; Metazoa; Chordata; Mammalia; Didelphimorphia; Didelphidae. The record is from RNAcentral.
AACAAGGUUCUAGGGAUGGUUGCUGAAGGCCAUGCCACUCGGUGUGGAACCUUGGAAGGAAUACAUUUUGUUUGGAGAUGAAACAUCACUUUCUUUCCAACCAGACAUUCCCACAACCAAUACAUCCUGCUAUUAAUGAACAAUUACAAUUGGGAGGACCUGGGAGCACUUCCUAGCGGUGAGACCCUGGCUCCCUCUGAAGAAUCUGUGCUUCCUGCCUAUCGCGCCAGUAAAUGCCAUGCUGAGAACAGGCAGUUUUUGAAAGAGAAAAUUGAAAAUAACCCUCACAAAGAAUGUUCCAGAUCUCUAAUAAUAAGGAAAAUGUAAAUUAAGCAACUCUUAUGCUUUAUCUUCAUUAAUAAUUUUUUAAAAUCGUCACCUUCCAUCUUAGAGUCAAUUCUGUGUAUUGGUUCCAUGGCAGAAGAACAGUGAAGGCUCAGCGAUAGGGGUUAAAUGCCUUGGCCAGGGUCACACGGCUAGGAAGUGUCUCAGGUGAGAUUUGAACCCAGGACUUCCUGUCUCCAGGCCUGGUGUUCUAUCUACUAAGCUGCCCCCUAGCCUUCACGGAUAAUAAUAGCUACCACUAUUUACAUAGCACUUUGAGGUCUACAAAAUGCU